AACGAACGCUGGCGGCGCGCCUAAUACAUGCAAGUCGAGCGAGAAGACGUAGCAAUACGUUUGUAAAGCGGCGAACGGGUGAGGAAUACAUGGGUAACCUACCCUCGAGUGGGGAAUAACUAGCCGAAAGGUUAGCUAAUACCGCGUACGCUCCUUGGACUUCGAUUCAGGGAGGAAAGCGAUACCGUGGGUAUCGCGCUCUUGGAUGGGCUCAUGUCCUAUCAGCUUGUUGGGAGGUAACGGCUCACCAAGGCUUCGACGGGUAGCUGGUCUGAGAGGACGAUCAGCCACACUGGCACUGCGACACGGGCCAGACUCCUACGGGAGGCAGCAGUAAGGAAUAUUGCGCAAUGGGCGAAAGCCUGACGCAGCGACGCCGCGUGGGGGAUGAAGGUCUUCGGAUUGUAAACCCCUUUCGGAGGGAAGAUGGAACGAGCAAUCGUUCGGACGGUCC
RNAcentral lists this ribosomal RNA (454 nucleotides) under uncultured bacterium. Its description in RNAcentral is "bacterial SSU rRNA". It matches the Rfam family "Bacterial small subunit ribosomal RNA", at positions 29 to 478 of the family's 1533-position model. The record is from RNAcentral.